Staphylococcus capitis is the source of this 2821-nucleotide non-coding RNA. NCBI's taxonomy places the organism in Bacteria, Bacillati, Bacillota, Bacilli, Caryophanales, Staphylococcaceae. The record is from Rfam.
AUCCAGAGAUUUCCGAAUGGGGGAACCCAACAUGAGUUAUGUCAUGUUAUCGACAUGUGAAUUCAUAGCAUGUCAGAAGGCAGACCCGGAGAACUGAAACAUCUUAGUACCCGGAGGAAGAGAAAGAAAAAUCGAUUCCCUGAGUAGCGGCGAGCGAAACGGGAAGAGCCCAAACCAACAAGCUUGCUUGUUGGGGUUGUAGGACACUCUAUACGGAGUUACAAAAGAACAUGUUAGACGAAUCAUCUGGAAAGAUGAAUCAAAGAAGGUAAUAAUCCUGUAGUCGAAAACAUAUUCUCUCUUGAGUGGAUCCUGAGUACGACGGAGCACGUGAAAUUCCGUCGGAAUCUAGGAGGACCAUCUCCUAAGGCUAAAUACUCUCUAGUGACCGAUAGUGAACCAGUACCGUGAGGGAAAGGUGAAAAGUACCCCGGAAGGGGAGUGAAAGAGAACUUGAAACCGUGUGCUUACAAGUAGUCAGAGCCCGUUUAUGGGUGAUGGCGUGCCUUUUGUAGAAUGAACCGGCGAGUUACGAUCUGAUGCAAGGUUAAGCAGCGAAUGUGGAGCCGUAGCGAAAGCGAGUCUGAAUAGGGCGUUGAGUAUUUGGUCGUAGACCCGAAACCAGGUGAUCUACCCUUGGUCAGGUUGAAGUUCAGGUAACACUGAAUGGAGGACCGAACCGACUUACGUUGAAAAGUGAGCGGAUGAACUGAGGGUAGCGGAGAAAUUCCAAUCGAACUUGGAGAUAGCUGGUUCUCUCCGAAAUAGCUUUAGGGCUAGCCUCAAGUGAUGAUUAUUGGAGGUAGAGCACUGUUUGGACGAGGGGCCCCUCUCGGGUUACCGAAUUCAGACAAACUCCGAAUGCCAAUCAAUUUAACUUGGGAGUCAGAACAUGGGUGAUAAGGUCCGUGUUCGAAAGGGAAACAGCCCAGACCACCAGCUAAGGUCCCAAAAUAUAUGUUAAGUGGAAAAGGAUGUGGCGUUGCCCAGACAACUAGGAUGUUGGCUUAGAAGCAGCCAUCAUUUAAAGAGUGCGUAAUAGCUCACUAGUCGAGUGACACUGCGCCGAAAAUGUACCGGGGCUAAACAUAUUACCGAAGCUGUGGAUUGUCCUUCGGACAAUGGUAGGAGAGCGUUCUAAGGGCGUUGAAGCAUGAUCGCAAGGACAUGUGGAGCGCUUAGAAGUGAGAAUGCCGGUGUGAGUAGCGAAAGACGGGUGAGAAUCCCGUCCACCGAUUGACUAAGGUUUCCAGAGGAAGGCUCGUCCGCUCUGGGUUAGUCGGGUCCUAAGCUGAGGCCGACAGGCGUAGGCGAUGGAUAACAGGUUGAUAUUCCUGUACCACCUAGUAUCGUUUUAAUCGAUGGGGGGACGCAGUAGGAUAGGCGAAGCGUGCUGUUGGAGUGCACGUCCAAGCAGUAAGGCUGAGUGUUAGGCAAAUCCGGCACUCGUUAGGCUGAGCUGUGAUGGGGAGAGGAAAUUGUUUCCUCGAGUCGUUGAUUUCACACUGCCGAGAAAAGCCUCUAGAUAGAUAACAGGUGCCCGUACCGCAAACCGACACAGGUAGUCAAGAUGAGAAUUCUAAGGUGAGCGAGCGAACUCUCGUUAAGGAACUCGGCAAAAUGACCCCGUAACUUCGGGAGAAGGGGUGCUCUUUAGGGUUCACGCCCAGAAGAGCCGCAGUGAAUAGGCCCAAGCGACUGUUUAUCAAAAACACAGGUCUCUGCUAAACCGUAAGGUGAUGUAUAGGGGCUGACGCCUGCCCGGUGCUGGAAGGUUAAGAGGAGUGGUUAGCUUCUGCGAAGCCACGAAUCGAAGCCCCAGUAAACGGCGGCCGUAACUAUAACGGUCCUAAGGUAGCGAAAUUCCUUGUCGGGUAAGUUCCGACCCGCACGAAAGGCGUAACGAUUUGGGCACUGUCUCAACGAGAGACUCGGUGAAAUCAUAGUACCUGUGAAGAUGCAGGUUACCCGCGACAGGACGGAAAGACCCCGUGGAGCUUUACUGUAGCCUGAUAUUGAAAUUCGGCACAGCUUGUACAGGAUAGGUAGGAGCCAUUGAAACGUGAGCGCUAGCUUACGUGGAGGCGUUGGUGGGAUACUACCCUAGCUGUGUUGGCUUUCUAACCCGCACCACUUAUCGUGGUGGGAGACAGUGUCAGGCGGGCAGUUUGACUGGGGCGGUCGCCUCCUAAAAGGUAACGGAGGCGCUCAAAGGUUCCCUCAGAAUGGUUGGAAAUCAUUCACAGAGUGUAAAGGCAUAAGGGAGCUUGACUGCGAGACCUACAAGUCGAGCAGGGUCGAAAGACGGACUUAGUGAUCCGGUGGUUCCGCAUGGAAGGGCCAUCGCUCAACGGAUAAAAGCUACCCCGGGGAUAACAGGCUUAUCUCCCCCAAGAGUUCACAUCGACGGGGAGGUUUGGCACCUCGAUGUCGGCUCAUCGCAUCCUGGGGCUGUAGUCGGUCCCAAGGGUUGGGCUGUUCGCCCAUUAAAGCGGUACGCGAGCUGGGUUCAGAACGUCGUGAGACAGUUCGGUCCCUAUCCGUCGUGGGCGUAGGAAAUUUGAGAGGAGCUGUCCUUAGUACGAGAGGACCGGGAUGGACAUACCUCUGGUGUACCAGUUGUCGUGCCAACGGCAUAGCUGGGUAGCUAUGUAUGGACGGGAUAAGUGCUGAAAGCAUCUAAGCAUGAAGCCCCCCUCAAGAUGAGAUUUCCCAACUUCGGUUAUAAGAUCCCUCGAAGAUGACGAGGUUAAUAGGUUCGAGGUGGAAGCGUGGUGACACGUGGAGCUGACGAAUACUAAUCGAUCGAAGACUUAAUCAA